RNAcentral lists this ribosomal RNA (433 nucleotides) under uncultured bacterium. Its description in RNAcentral is "partial 16S ribosomal RNA". It matches the Rfam family "Bacterial small subunit ribosomal RNA", at positions 29 to 507 of the family's 1533-position model. The record is from RNAcentral.
AGCGAACGCUGGCGGCAGGCCCAACACAUGCAAGUCGAACGAACUCUUCGGAGUUAGUGGCGGACGGGUGAGUAACACGUGGGAACGUGCCUUUUGGUUCGGAAUAACUCAGGGAAACUUGUGCUAAUACCGAAUGUGCCCUUCGGGGGAAAGAUUUAUCGCCAUUAGAGCGGCCCGCGUCUGAUUAGCUAGUUGGUGAGGUAACGGCUCACCAAGGCGACGAUCAGUAGCUGGUCUGAGAGGAUGACCAGCCACACUGGGACUGAGACACGGCCCAGACUCCUACGGGAGGGCGCAGGGGGGGAUCUUGCGCAAUGGGCGAAAGGCUGACGGCGCCCUGGCGCGUGAAUGAUGAAGGUCUUAGGAAUGUAAAAUUCUUUCACCGGGGACGGUAAUGACGGUACCCGGAGAAGAAGCCCCGGCUAACUUCGUG